Non-coding RNA from Penaeus vannamei (Pacific white shrimp), 701 nucleotides. The record is from RefSeq and is a predicted model, not a curated record. NCBI's taxonomy places the organism in Eukaryota, Metazoa, Arthropoda, Malacostraca, Decapoda, Penaeidae.
GCGCCGGGCGCUGGCGAGCCCUCGGCCGUGGGCGGGAGGAGGAGGGUUCGGGGAGCAGCUGGCAGCGGCGACACUCCGCCAGCAGCUGCCAGGGACGGGGCGAAAGCAGCGGCAGGCGGGGGAGACAAGCCUCGGCAAGCAACUGGCAGAAAGGGCAAGGCCAGGAAGGCACCGGAGGACGACGAGCCUUUGUCAGCAGCGGGCAGGGAUGAGCGUCCGGAGGCAGCAGGCACGAGGGGAAAGGUGCGGCAAAGGGCAGACAGGAAGGCCGAGGGCGAGGUGGCAGCCGAGGGCGAGGUGGCAGCCGAGGGCGAGGUGGCAGCCGAGGGCGAGGUGGCAUCCGAGGAGUCACCUCAAGAAGACAGCGACGCGUCAACACUAGAAGAUGAGAGUGACGAAUCAGUGUGAUGUUAUCCAUCCUGGUUGAGAUAGCAUGAUAUGAAAUACAUAGAAUAUGCCUAUCUUUUCUCUCCCAUCUCCAAGCUUUUAUGAUUAAUGCUGAUGAUAACAAAAGCAGAAAUAAUAACAGCAAUAAAAUUUAUGAUAGUGGUAAUAACGACAACAAAAAUCAUAUCAAUGGUAUUGGAAAUUAUAGUACUAAGGACAAUGAACAUGAUAAUGAUAAAUUAAUACUAAUAAGGAAAAUAAUGAUGAUGACAUCGAAAAUUAUAAUGAAAAUGAUAAUAAAUAGUUGUAUUAAU